UACGUAGGGCGCAAGCGUUGUCCGGAAUUAUUGGGCGUAAAGAGCUCGUAGGCGGUCUGUUACGUCCGCUGUGAAAACCCAGGGCUUAACCCUGGGCUUGCAGUGGAUACGGGUAGACUAUAGGCAGGUAGGGGAGAAUGGAAUUCCCGGUGUAGCGGUGAAAUGCGCAGAUAUCGGGAGGAACACCGGUGGCGAAGGCGGUUCUCUGGGCUGUAACUGACGCUGAGGCGCGAAAGCGUGGGGAGCAAACAGG
Molecule: ribosomal RNA, 253 nt
Filed under: uncultured bacterium
Lineage: Bacteria
Description: partial 16S ribosomal RNA
Rfam family: Bacterial small subunit ribosomal RNA
Source: RNAcentral